Molecule: transfer RNA, 74 nt
Filed under: Nitrospinota bacterium
Lineage: Bacteria; Pseudomonadati; Nitrospinota
Description: Nitrospinae bacterium tRNA-Arg
Rfam family: tRNA
About the family: Transfer RNA (tRNA) molecules are approximately 80 nucleotides in length.
Source: RNAcentral
GCGCCCAUAGCUCAGCCGGAUAGAGCGCUUCCCUGCGGAGGAAGAGGUCAGAGGUUCGAAUCCUCUUGGGCGCG